GGGUUACUCCUUGGCGCUUGCGCGCUGUUUUGAUGAAGAUUCGCACCUCUAUCAAAACGGGUAACCCCGCCUCUUGGCAAGGCCUUACUGUCAGAUCAAGUCUGAACUUCUACAUGUCAUGCACUACCACACGCCGAUACAUGGCAGCCGACCGUUCCAGUAUGUACAUAUCGACCACACUGAACUGGACAUUGAACUAAUCUCCAGCCGCACGAGCAA
RNAcentral lists this small RNA (219 nucleotides) under Burkholderia glumae BGR1. Its description in RNAcentral is "Proteobacterial sRNA psRNA2". It matches the Rfam family "Proteobacterial sRNA psRNA2". The record is from Rfam by way of RNAcentral. Lineage: Bacteria; Pseudomonadati; Pseudomonadota; Betaproteobacteria; Burkholderiales; Burkholderiaceae.